CCUACGGGAGACAGCAGUGAGGAAUAUUGGUCAAUGGGCGUAAGCCUGAACCAGCCAAGUCGCGUGAGGGAUGAAGGUUCUAUGGAUCGUAAACCUCUUUUAUAAGGGAAUAAAGUGUGGGACGUGUCCUAUUUUGUAUGUACCUUAUGAAUAAGGAUCGGCUAACUCCGUGCCAGCAGCCGCGGUAAUACGGAGGAUCCGAGCGUUAUCCGGAUUUAUUGGGUUUAAUGGGUGCGUAGGCGGCCUUUUAAGUCAGCGGUGAAAGUCUGUGGCUCAACCAUAGAAUUGCCGUUGAAACUGGGGGGCUUGAGUGUGUAUGCGGCAGGCGGAAUGCGUGGUGUAGCGGUGAAAUGCUUAGAUAUCACGCAGAACCCCGAUUGCGAAGGCAGCCUGCCAAGCCAUGACUGACGCUGAUGCACGAAAGCGUGGGGAUCAAACAGGAUUAGAUACCCUGGUAGUC
RNAcentral lists this ribosomal RNA (460 nucleotides) under uncultured bacterium. RNAcentral describes it as "partial 16S ribosomal RNA". It matches the Rfam family "Bacterial small subunit ribosomal RNA", at positions 338 to 795 of the family's 1533-position model. The record is from RNAcentral.